GAGUACAUGAUAACCGGUUAGGAUUAUUUUUGGCGAUGGAAGACUACCCUUUUUGAAGAUCGUUGGGUAAACAAAGUAGUUCCGAUUCAUUUGAAUUUGAAUGAUCGUUUCAUUUUUUUGAUUAAUUAAUCGUUUGAAGUCAGUUAACAAGGGAUUAUUUUAUUUGGAAUUUAAGGGAGGUAUUAGCCACCAACCUGGCGAGGUUGCUACCCCUUGUCCGGACGAAAAAAAGGGGUAGUCGGACUCAUUUUACGGGCCCUGAAUCCAAAGAAUACUUGAAAAAGUGCUUUUGCUGUUGCUUUUAAGUAAGUGCACGUCUUAAGAAUACAUAUACCUAUGUAGUAAUAGCCAAGUAAACUUAAGUAAAAAAAUUUGCAUUGCCUGCCACGGAAAAUCCGGAACAAAUGUUACCUACCCGGUAGCUCACUGCUGGUGGACGAUGGUCGAGGGCUGCUACAACCACUGCUGUAGGGCGCCACAAGUUUGUAAGGGAAAUUCCUCUCAAACUUGAAAGAGGAUACACAAAACAAGAUAGGAAAAUUAUGAGAUUUAUUAGGCACACAAAACGAAGGAAAUAAAAUUAAAUAACUAAAGGUAUGAUUUUGUUUUCAAAUAAUAAUUGGGUGCUAUGGGAAUUAUGCUUAUUACGAAUAAUAACCGACGGCAACAAGACCAGAAUUACUGGCUUUUAUACGUAUAAACCAGCGGGUGAAUGACUUGUGAAAAUAAAGGGAGGUUUAAGCAGGCUGCCGUUGGAAGAUCUUCCUUACUUGGACCUUGCCAGGUAAGACGCAAUAUAGUAGUUAAGGUGAAAGCAUAGGUCUUGUUUUUGUCUCACAAAUAUUGUAAAUAAGGUAGUUGCAAUACACCCCCCCCACACAAAUUAAUUUGAACUAACAAGUUCUGUUAAAUAUUGACUACUGUCAAAUCUCAAUACAAAAUACAAAUUAAAUUAUUAUGUGCCACUUGGCUUUUGCAUUAUCAAUACCAAAAUAAUUGAGGGUUAAGGAGGUAAGACAAGAUGGAGGAUUAUGGGAAGGACUAGGAUGGCCGCCGGUGGAAGUAAAGCUGGUCCUCAGGUGGUAUCGGCCCAGAAUGGAACAAUCGACUUAAUAUCACUAGGCCUGGAUGGACGUUGGAUUGCCCUGAAGUUCACGGUGGAGGGAACGAUUGACGACACGGGAAAUCAAGA
Molecule: long non-coding RNA, 1192 nt
Organism: Photinus pyralis (common eastern firefly)
Lineage: Eukaryota; Metazoa; Arthropoda; Insecta; Coleoptera; Lampyridae
Exons: 3
Source: RefSeq, a predicted model, not a curated record